RNAcentral lists this ribosomal RNA (494 nucleotides) under uncultured bacterium. RNAcentral describes it as "partial 16S ribosomal RNA". It matches the Rfam family "Bacterial small subunit ribosomal RNA", at positions 28 to 507 of the family's 1533-position model. The record is from RNAcentral.
GACGAACGCUGGCGGCGUGCUUAACACAUGCAAGUCGAACGGAACGGCCUGCGUUCCCUUGUGGCUUGCGGGUACUCGGGUGGCGAACGGCUGAGUAACACGUGAGUGAUCUGCCCCCAACUUGGGUAUAAGCCUGUGAAACUGGGUCUAAUGCUCUAUAGCACUGCAGGCGGCUGCCUUUUGUGGAACACGAUGUUCUAGUUGUUGGUGAUGAGCGCCCGGCCUAUCUGCUUGUUGCUGGGGUAAUGGCCUACCAAUGCGGAGACGGGGAGCCAGCCAGAGAGGGUGUACGGAGACAGUGGGACUGAGAAACGGCCCAGACACCUACGGGCGGCAGCAGUGGGGAAGAGAGGCAACGGUGGGGAAGCCUGAUGAAGCGACGAAGGGCGGAGGAUGACGGGCUUCGGGUUGUAUGCUCCUUUCGAGCGCGAGGAAGCCUCCUGGUUGGGAGGGUGGUGACGGUAGUGGUAGAAGAAGCCCCGGCUAACUACGUG